UCCAUCUCAUCCUUCUGCUUUCUAUGCCUAAAAAUAAUGUAGCCCAACACAUCAAAAUGAGGUGUAUCCAAAAGGAAAGAGUAGCACUUUUAUCCUUCAAGCAAACACUAGUUGAUGAAUUUGAUAUACUCUCUUCUUGGGACACACAUAUCAACUGUGAUUGUUGCAAUUGGAGAGGUGUUGAAUGCACCAACACUAAUUCUACCACUCACCAACAUAUCAUUACACUUGAUCUUCAUGGCUCAUAUUCUUAUGAAAGGUAUUUGAUGGGUGAGGUUAGUUCUUCUUUGACUCAAUUGUCAUACCUCAACUUCUUAGAUCUUAGCUUUAAUCAGUUUGAUCGGAUUGUCCUUAAAGAUAUUGCUUCUCUUCUGAAUUUGAAUUAUCUCAACUUGUCUUAUAAUUUUCAUGUUUAUACUCCCAUUCCUCCUCAUCUUGGAAAUCUUUCAAAACUGUCUGUUCUUGAUUUAAGAGGUUAAUGACCUUGGUGAUGCCCAUGAUUGGACAAUUACCAUUAACAAACUUCCUGCCUUGCAAAGUUUGUUUUUAAGAGGUCGUUACCUUCCAGCCCCUGUUCAAUCAUUUCAUUAUUCAAACAUCAAUUUCUCGAGAUUUCUAGUUGAGUUGGACCUCUCUUGGAAUUAUAUGGAUCUUAGUUCCUCAAAUUUUUAUUCAUCGAUGAUCAACUCAACUAAUCUUGUUCAUCUGAAUCUUGGUUACAACAAUCUACAAAGUUUGAACUUGAAUGAUUUUGAAAAUAUGACUUCACUUGUAUUUCUUGGUCUGACUUCCACUCAAGUUAAUUUUCGUUCUUUCAAUUCCUUCGGAAGUCUAUGCAACUUAAAAUCAUUACACUUGUCAUUCAAUAAUAUAGGAGGAUUGCUAUUUGAUUUUCUCAUAGCUUUUCCACCAAAUUGAAGUCCCGGAUAUGUCAAUGAACUACUCCACCAGUGCAUUGUCUAUCAAUCUUGAGUCGAACAAAUUUGUGGGCCGAAUUCCCUCCUUUCUUCUCCAAUAUUCUUCACUUUUUCUUUCAAAUAAUAGCUUUUCUGACUUAAGUGGCUUAUGUGAAUUCGUUGGUGACUCUCAUUUAAUGCUACUUGAUCUUUCUAACAACCAACUAUUAGGAAAACUUCCUGGUUGUUGGUACUCCUUCGACAAUUUAGUAUUAUUGGACUUGUCUAAUAAUUAUUUAUCUGGAGACAUUCCACAUUCUAUGAAUUAUCUAACUUACUUGGAUUCCUUAUUUUUACGCAACAAUCAAUUCACUGGCGGGUUCCGUAACUUAUUCAACAUAACAAAUUUGAUUACCUUUGAUGCAAUGAAUAAUAAUUUUUCUGGAGUUCUACCAUCAUGGAUUGGAUGGAAAUUACCAUAUUUGAUACAUCUGAAUUUGAAGUCAAAUAAUUUUCAUGGAGAUUUACCUUCAAGUCUUUGCAACCUCAGUAACAUUCAAGUAAUUGGAUAUUUCAUCCAAUUAUAUUUCUGGAAGCAUUCCAACUUGCAUCAAUAAGCAUGGCAUUUGGAUAUAUUGUGGGUUUUUGGGGAAUAUUUGGAAGUUUGGUAGUACAUAGGAGAUGGAGGCAUGCCUACUUCAAAUUUUUAAGGAAUACAAUCCACUGAAAUCAGGCACCUUGGAGAUAUAUUUAGCCAAGUAGGGAGCUCUCUGGUGGAUGAAUAACUGGGCUUCCAAUGCGUAGCAUAAUCGUGUAGCUAUGUUUUUUGUUUUAAGGUUCAACAGAUGGUUAAGGAAAUUCAAGUGCACUAUCGUCCAAACACAAAUACCUUAAGGAAAACUUGGCUUUCCAUAAA
Molecule: long non-coding RNA, 1812 nt
Organism: Cucumis sativus (cucumber)
Lineage: Eukaryota; Viridiplantae; Streptophyta; Magnoliopsida; Cucurbitales; Cucurbitaceae
Exons: 2
Source: RefSeq, a predicted model, not a curated record